Cucurbita maxima (winter squash) is the source of this 667-nucleotide long non-coding RNA. RefSeq lists it as uncharacterized. The transcript has 2 exons. Lineage: Eukaryota; Viridiplantae; Streptophyta; Magnoliopsida; Cucurbitales; Cucurbitaceae. The record is from RefSeq and is a predicted model, not a curated record.
UGCGCACGACUGAGCCCUUCUCCCGGCCUCUCUCACGAAAGCGCUCUUCCGUAAAAAAUCUCCUGAUUUCUACUCUCCAGAGGCGAGCCAAAUUGAUUUCGGACUUCAGAGCUUCGCUUCACGUUAAUCUCAUCAGAAUCCGGUGCAUAACGGAGUGUCUCAUUUUCUGGAUCAGUCGUGUUUCAGACUUUAGAGACUUGAUUCUUGCUAGUGCCAUUGAAGGCAUGGAAUGAUUCUAUCAAAGAUGGAGUUCUCUCGGUCGGCUCACCGAUACCAAGUAAAUUACAUCUUCCUUUCAGCUGCUGAUUUAGUUCAUUGACACCCUUUUUCCUGAAGAGUUCUAUCAGCUGGUUUAGGUCUGCUUGUGGAAUCACAAUCACAAAUAGGAUUUUGAUAUGUAGUUUAAAGACUGAUUUUUGUUUCAACAAUCAGUAAUGAUGCACGCGGUAGCAAAAACUUCAGUCCUUCCAUGUUUAACAACCGACUUCAGUAACUCGGUAUGUAUCGACUUUAGCUGUUGUCUUGCAUCCAUUUUCAUGCAGGAAAUGGCUGGAAUCUUUAAAGCAAGGAAUAGUGGGUAGAGUUAGAAAGGUAGCUUCCAUUACCAUUACUCAGUUAAAGACAUUGUGACAUUCCACGCAGAGUGAAAUGAAAUAUUCUUUAUAUA